GUUUAUGGCCAGACCAACUUGAGAAUGCCCGAUUUCGUCUGAUCUCAGAAGCUCAGAAGUUUGGGCCUGGUUAGUACUUGGAUGGGAGAAACA
This 93-nucleotide ribosomal RNA is filed under the name Periophthalmus magnuspinnatus. Lineage: Eukaryota; Metazoa; Chordata; Actinopteri; Gobiiformes; Gobiidae. The record is from RNAcentral.